Molecule: long non-coding RNA, 419 nt
Organism: Condylostylus longicornis
Lineage: Eukaryota; Metazoa; Arthropoda; Insecta; Diptera; Dolichopodidae
Exons: 2
Source: RefSeq, a predicted model, not a curated record
AUUUUAUUCAGUUCGAGAAAAACGAAUUCUAUUUCAAAUCCAAAAAAAAAAAAUUACCUACAAUAAAAAUGCAAUUAACAAAAUUAUUUUUCAUUUUUGCUUUAAUCUUCGCUGCAUUUGUCACUGCUGAAGUAAAAGCAGAACAAUGCCACCCUGGACGGCAUAUCAGUUGUAACCAAGGUUGUUUAAUGGCUGGACAACGAGGUGGCUAUUGUGUUGAAGUUCCUCCAAAUAGCUGGUCCUGUAAAUGUGUAUAAAAUCAGUCAAUAUACAUAAUAAAAAUAAAUGGGUAAAAUAUUGGGAAUGGAAACGUAAAAAUCGAAUUUUAAUUGUAUGAUAUUAUAUGAUAUUGUAUGAUAUUUUGUGCAUAUAAAAUUACUAAAUAAAAUACAAUGUCAGAUACGUUUAAAUAAUCAGAA